RNAcentral lists this ribosomal RNA (263 nucleotides) under uncultured bacterium. RNAcentral describes it as "partial 16S ribosomal RNA". It matches the Rfam family "Bacterial small subunit ribosomal RNA", at positions 524 to 783 of the family's 1533-position model. The record is from RNAcentral.
UACGGGGGGAGCAAGCGUUGUUCGGAUUUACUGGGCGUAAAGGGCGCGUAGGCGGUCGUGACAAGUCACUUGUGAAAUCUCCGGGCUUAACUCGGAACGGUCAAGUGAUACUGUCGGACUAGAGUACAGAAGGGGCAACUGGAAUUCUCGGUGUAGCGGUGAAAUGCGCAGAUAUCGGGAGGAACACCAGUAGCGAAGGCGGCUCGCUGGGCCAUUCCUGACGCUGAGACGCGAAAGCUAGGGGAGCGAACGAGGAUUAUGAU